CCUACGGGAGGCAGCAGUGGGGAAUUUUGGACAAUGGGCGCAAGCCUGAUCCAGCAAUGCCGCGUGAGUGAAGAAGGCCUUCGGGUUGUAAAGCUCUUUUGUCAGGGAAGAAACGGUGGGAGCUAAUAUCUCCCGCUAAUGACGGUACCUGAAGAAUAAGCACCGGCUAACUACGUGCCAGCAGCCGCGGUAAUACGUAGGGUGCAAGCGUUAAUCGGAAUUACUGGGCGUAAAGCGUGCGCAGGCGGUUUUGUAAGUCUGUCGUGAAAGCCCCGGGCUCAACCUGGGAAUUGCGAUGGAGACUGCAAGGCUUGAAUCUGGCAGAGGGGGGUAGAAUUCCACGUGUAGCAGUGAAAUGCGUAGAGAUGUGGAGGAACACCGAUGGCGAAGGCAGCCCCCUGGGUCAAGAUUGACGCUCAUGCACGAAAGCGUGGGGAGCAAACAGGAUUAGAUACCCUGGUAGUCCACGCCCUAAACGAUGUCUACUAGUUGUCGGGUUUUAAUAACUUGGUAACGCAGCUAACGCGUGAAGUAGACCGCCUGGGGAGUACGGUCGCAAGNUUAAAACUCAAAGGAAUUGACGG
Molecule: ribosomal RNA, 584 nt
Filed under: uncultured bacterium
Lineage: Bacteria
Description: bacterial SSU rRNA
Rfam family: Bacterial small subunit ribosomal RNA
Source: RNAcentral